AACAUCGCGCACCUGCGGGAACCUGCGGAGGGAUCAUUACCGAGUUUACAACUCCCAAACCCCUGUGAACAUACCUAUACGUUGCCUCGGCGGAUCAGCCCGCGCCCCGUAAAAAGGGACGGCCCGCCCGAGGACCCCUAAACUCUGUUUUUAGUGGAACUUCUGAGUAAAACAAACAAAUAAAUCAAAACUUUCAACAACGGAUCU
RNAcentral lists this unclassified non-coding RNA (207 nucleotides) under soil metagenome. Its description in RNAcentral is "partial contains 5.8S ribosomal RNA, internal transcribed spacer 2, and large subunit ribosomal RNA". The record is from RNAcentral.